GGAGCGAUGCCCGAGUGGACGAAGGGACCCGGCUGGAAACCGGGUAGGGCCCAAAAAGCCCUCCGGGGUUCGAAUCCCCGUCGCUCCGCCA
This 91-nucleotide transfer RNA is filed under the name Armatimonadota bacterium. RNAcentral describes it as "Armatimonadetes bacterium (hot springs metagenome) tRNA-Ser". It matches the Rfam family "tRNA". From Rfam's summary of the family: Transfer RNA (tRNA) molecules are approximately 80 nucleotides in length. Their secondary structure includes four short double-helical elements and three loops (D, anti-codon, and T loops). The record is from RNAcentral. Lineage: Bacteria; Bacillati; Armatimonadota.